Molecule: ribosomal RNA, 464 nt
Filed under: uncultured bacterium
Lineage: Bacteria
Description: partial 16S ribosomal RNA
Rfam family: Bacterial small subunit ribosomal RNA
Source: RNAcentral
CUACGGGGGGCUCCAGUGGGGAAUAUUGCACAACGGGCGCAAGCCUGAUGCAGCCAUGCCGCGUGUAUGAAGAAGGCCUUCGGGUUGUAAAGUACUUUCAGCGGGGAGGAAGGGAGUAAAGUUAAUACCUUUGCUCAUUGACGUUACCCGCAGAAGAAGCACCGGCUAACUCCGUGCCAGCAGCCGCGGUAAUACGGCGGGUGCAAGCGUUAAUCGGAAUUACUGGGCGUAAAGCGCACGCAGGCGGUUUGUUAAGUCAGAUGUGAAAUCCCCGGGCUCAACCUGGGAACUGCAUCUGAUACUGGCAAGCUUGAGUCUCGUAGAGGGGGGUAGAAUUCCAGGUGUAGCGGUGAAAUGCGUAGAGAUCUGGAGGAAUACCGGUGGCGAAGGCGGCCCCCUGGACGAAGACUGACGCUCAGGUGCGAAAGCGUGGGGAGCAAACAGGAUUAGAUACCCGUGUAGUC